Molecule: ribosomal RNA, 497 nt
Filed under: uncultured bacterium
Lineage: Bacteria
Description: partial 16S ribosomal RNA
Rfam family: Bacterial small subunit ribosomal RNA
Source: RNAcentral
GAUGAACGCUGGCGGCGUGCCUAAUACAUGCAAGUCGAGCGAACGGACGAGAAGCUUGCUUCUCUGAUGUUAGCGGCGGACGGGUGAGUAACACGUGGAUAACCUACCUAUAAGACUGGGAUAACUUCGGGAAACCGGAGCUAAUACCGGAUGAUAUUUUGAACCGCAUGGUUCAGAAGUGAAAGACGGUCUUGCUGUCACUUAUAGAUGGAUCCGCGCUGCAUUAGCUAGUUGGUAAGGUAACGGCUUACCAAGGCAACGGUGCAUAGCCGACCUGAGAGGGUGAUCGGCCACACUGGAACUGAGACACGGUCCAGACUCCUACGGGGGGCAGCAGUAGGGAAUCUUCCGCAAUGGGCGAAAGCCUGACGGAGCAACGCCGCGUGAGUGAUGAAGGUCUUCGGAUCGUAAAACUCUGUUAUUAGGGAAGAACAUAUGUGUAAGUAACUGUGCACAUCUUGACGGUACCUAAUCAGAAAGCCACGGCUAACUACGUG